GGGGCCUUAGCUCAGCUGGUAGAGCGCCUGCUUUGCAAGCAGGAUGUCAGGAGUUCGAAUCUCCUAGGCUCCA
Molecule: transfer RNA, 73 nt
Organism: Microbacterium sp. T32
Lineage: Bacteria; Bacillati; Actinomycetota; Actinomycetes; Micrococcales; Microbacteriaceae
Rfam family: tRNA
About the family: Transfer RNA (tRNA) molecules are approximately 80 nucleotides in length. Their secondary structure includes four short double-helical elements and three loops (D, anti-codon, and T loops).
Source: Rfam